CUGAAGCAAGGCAGAAGGCAGCUGGUUGCCCCAGCAGCUCUGAUGGCAUGCACUGUCAGAAGAUGCUGCUUUCUCUGGAGACCUGGAUACCUACUGGUCCGGCACUGCACCCAUCUGCAUGGGGGGCUGCAAGGGGAAGCAUAAGGAGCUGAAGAGGAGCCAGUGUGGGAAUGGCAGCUGCUGCUGGCUGGGCUACAAGUCCUUCUGCCGAGUGAACUGCGGGAGGCCCGAGGCAGACUUCAACUCAGUGGUGUAUGGCAAUGACUGGUGGGUGGGCUCCGUGGUGCGCUACAGCUGCCGGCCCGGCUUCAUGCUGCUGGGGGACCCGGCCAGUGCCUGCCAGUCUGACGGCCGCUGGACGCCCAAGCCCACCUGCCUCCGGAUCUGCCUGCGAGGCCGGAUCGAGAUCAGCGAGCGGGACAUCAGUGGGAGCUGCUCGUCAUCCUGCAGCACCCAGAGCAACAUGGGAGCCUCCCUGCACCACGGCUGCAUCAAGAUCUCCUCCUGCAGCACCAAACGCUCAGGCUGGGCGCGCUGGUUCCUGCGCUGCGAUAUCUGCGAGUGCGACUGCCAUGUGCCCUGUGGGGAGACCCAGUAG
RNAcentral lists this long non-coding RNA (598 nucleotides) under Chrysolophus pictus (golden pheasant). RNAcentral's name for it is "lncRNA (ENSCPIG00010003186.1)". Lineage: Eukaryota; Metazoa; Chordata; Aves; Galliformes; Phasianidae. The record is from RNAcentral.